GGNNNNUGGCUCGGAUGACGCUGGCGGCGUGCUUAACACAUGCAAGUCGAGCGAGGGAGCACCUUCGGGUGUGAACUAGCGGCGGACGGGUGAGUAACACGUGGGCAACCUGCCUUACAGAGGGGGAUAGCCUUCCGAAAGGAAGAUUAAUACCGCAUAUUAUGAUUUUUCUGCAUGGGAAAGUCAUGAAAGGAGCAAUCCGCUGUAAGAUGGGCCCGCGGCGCAUUAGCUAGUUGGUGAGGUAAGGGCUCACCAAGGCGACGAUGCGUAGCCGACCUGAGAGGGUGAUCGGCCACAUUGGGACUGAGACACGGCCCACACUCCUACGGGAGGCAGCAGUGGGGAAUAUUGCACAUGCGGGAAACCCUGAUGCACCAACGCCGCGUGAGUGAUGACGGUGUUCGGGUUGUAAACCCUGUCUUCAGGGACGAAAAUGACGGUACCUGAGGAGGAAGCCACGGCUAACUACGUGCCAACAGCCCGGGUAAUUCCUAGGUGGGGAGCGUUAUCCGAUUUACUGGGCUAAAGGAAGCGUAAGGGGAAUUUUAGUGGGAAGUGAAAUACCCGGGCUCACCUGGGAACUGCCUUUCCAAAUGGGAAUUCUAGAGUGCAGGANAGGGAAGCGGAAUUUCCUAAUGGANCGGGGAAAAUGCGCAAAAAAUAAGAAAAAAACCCCCCGGCGAAAGGGGGGUUUCUGGGAUGUAACUGAAACUGAGGGAUGGAAAGCGUGGGGGGAGAAACAAGGAUUUUAUACCCCUGGGAGUCCCCCCCCCAAACCAAGGGGGACUAGGUGGUGGGGGUUUUGAUACCCCUUUUGGCGCCCGCAAAAAAAACAAAUAACCCCCCCUGGGGGGGAACGGUCGGCANAAUUUAAACUCCACAGGAAUUUUCGGGGGCGCGCCAAAAAUAACGAGAAUGUGGGUUUUAUUUCGAAGAAACGCCGAAAA
Molecule: ribosomal RNA, 947 nt
Filed under: uncultured Clostridium sp.
Lineage: Bacteria; Bacillati; Bacillota; Clostridia; Eubacteriales; Clostridiaceae
Description: partial 16S ribosomal RNA
Rfam family: Bacterial small subunit ribosomal RNA
Source: RNAcentral